RNAcentral lists this ribosomal RNA (839 nucleotides) under uncultured bacterium. Its description in RNAcentral is "bacterial SSU rRNA". It matches the Rfam family "Bacterial small subunit ribosomal RNA", at positions 79 to 918 of the family's 1533-position model. The record is from RNAcentral.
CUUGCUUCUCUUGAGAGCGGCGGACGGGUGAGUAAUGCCUAGGAAUCUGCCUGGUAGUGGGGGAUAACGUCCGGAAACGGACGCUAAUACCGCAUACGUCCUACGGGAGAAAGCAGGGGACCUUCGGGCCUUGCGCUAUCAGAUGAGCCUAGGUCGGAUUAGCUAGUUGGUGGGGUAAUGGCUCACCAAGGCGACGAUCCGUAACUGGUCUGAGAGGAUGAUCAGUCACACUGGAACUGAGACACGGUCCAGACUCCUACGGGAGGCAGCAGUGGGGAAUAUUGGACAAUGGGCGAAAGCCUGAUCCAGCCAUGCCGCGUGUGUGAAGAAGGUCUUCGGAUUGUAAAGCACUUUAAGUUGGGAGGAAGGGCAGUAAAUUAAUACUUUGCUGUUUUGACGUUACCGACAGAAUAAGCACCGGCUAACUCUGUGCCAGCAGCCGCGGUAAUACAGAGGGUGCAAGCGUUAAUCGGAAUUACUGGGCGUAAAGCGCGCGUAGGUGGUUCGUUAAGUUGGAUGUGAAAUCCCCGGGCUCAACCUGGGAACUGCAUUCAAAACUGACGAGCUAGAGUAUGGUAGAGGGUGGUGGAAUUUCCUGUGUAGCGGUGAAAUGCGUAGAUAUAGGAAGGAACACCAGUGGCGAAAGCGACCACCUGGACUGAUACUGACACUGAGUGCGAAAGCGUGGGGAGCAAACAGGAUUAGAUACCCUGGUAGUCCACGCCGUAAACGAUGUCAACUAGCCGUUGGGAGCCUUGAGCUCUUAGUGGCGCAGCUAACGCAUUAAGUUGACCGCUGGGGAGUACGGCGCAAGGUUAAAACUCAAUGAAUUGACGGGG